GACGAACGCUGGCGGCGUGCUUAACACAUGCAAGUCGAGCGGUAAGGCCCUUUCGGGGGUACGACGAGCGGCGAACGGGUGAGUAACACGUGGGUGACCUGCCCUCAGCUCUGGGAUAAGCCUGGGAAACCGGGUCUAAUACUGGAUAUGACUCCAUGACGCAUGUUGUGGGGUGGAAAGCCUUGUGCGGCUGAGGAUGGGCCCGCGGCCUAUCAGCUUGUUGGUGGGGUGANGGCCUACCAAGGCGACGACGGGUAGCCGGCCUGAGAGGGCGACCGGCCACACUGGGACUGAGACACGGCCCAGACUCCUACGGGAGGCAGCAGUGGGGAAUCUUGCGCAAUGGGCGAAAGCCUGACGCAGCGACGCCGCGUGAGGAUGACGGCCU
Molecule: ribosomal RNA, 388 nt
Filed under: uncultured bacterium
Lineage: Bacteria
Description: bacterial SSU rRNA
Rfam family: Bacterial small subunit ribosomal RNA
Source: RNAcentral